RNAcentral lists this ribosomal RNA (253 nucleotides) under uncultured bacterium. Its description in RNAcentral is "partial 16S ribosomal RNA". It matches the Rfam family "Bacterial small subunit ribosomal RNA", at positions 524 to 776 of the family's 1533-position model. The record is from RNAcentral.
UACGAAGGGGGCUAGCGUUGCUCGGAAUUACUGGGCGUAAAGCGCACGUAGGCGGCUUUCUAAGUCGGGGGUGAAAUCCUGGAGCUCAACCCCAGAACUGCCUUCGAUACUGGAAAGCUCGAGUCCGGGAGAGGUGAGUGGAACUGCGAGUGUAGAGGUGAAAUUCGUAGAUAUUCGCAAGAACACCAGUGGCGAAGGCGGCUCACUGGCCCGAUACUGACGCUGAGGUGCGAAAGCGUGGGGAGCAAACAGG